Molecule: ribosomal RNA, 264 nt
Filed under: uncultured archaeon
Lineage: Archaea
Description: partial 16S ribosomal RNA
Rfam family: Archaeal small subunit ribosomal RNA
Source: RNAcentral
AGUCACUGACAUUAGAUACCCGCGUAGUCCAGGGUGUAAACGCUGCAGACUUGGUGUUGGAAGUCCUUUGGGGGCAUUCAGUGCCGGAGAGAAGUUGUUAAGUCUGCUACUUGGGAGUACGUCCGCAAGGAUGAAACUUAAAGGAAUUGGCGGGGGAGCACCGCAACGGGAGGAGCGUGCGGUUUAAUUGGAUUCAACACCGUAAAACUCACCAGGGAAGACUGUUACAUGAAGGCCGAGAUGAAGACUCUACUAGAUUUUCAG